RNAcentral lists this ribosomal RNA (500 nucleotides) under uncultured bacterium. RNAcentral describes it as "partial 16S ribosomal RNA". It matches the Rfam family "Bacterial small subunit ribosomal RNA", at positions 30 to 523 of the family's 1533-position model. The record is from RNAcentral.
AUUGAACGCUGGCGGCAUGCCUUACACAUGCAAGUCGAACGGCAGCACGGGAGCAAUCCUGGUGGCGAGUGGCGAACGGGUGAGUAAUGUAUCGGAACGUACCAUUGAGUGGGGGAUAACGUAGCGAAAGUUACGCUAAUACCGCAUAUACCCUGAGGGGGAAAGCAGGGGAUCGCAAGACCUUGUGCUCUUUGAGCGGCCGAUAUCAGAUUAGCUAGUUGGUGAGGUAAAGGCUCACCAAGGCGACGAUCUGUAGCGGGUCUGAGAGGAUGAUCCGCCACACUGGAACUGAGACACGGUCCAGACUCCUACGGGAGGCAGCAGUGGGGAAUUUUGGACAAUGGGGGCAACCCUGAUCCAGCCAUCCCGCGUGAGUGAAGAAGGCCUUCGGGUUGUAAAGCUCUUUCGGCCGGGAGGAAAUCGCAUCAGCUAAUACCUGGUGUGGAUGACAGUACCGGAAUAAGAAGCACCGGCUAACUACGUGCCAGCCGCCGCCGUAA